UUCCGCAAGAGUACGCGCUGCACUUAUCAUGUGCUAUUAGCUGAACCCUAAAUUUUGUAAUAACUGAGUUUAAGUAUGUCUCUCCAGCUACUUGCAUUCAUUUUGGGUAUUAAUACGGAUGUAACGUGAAUUCAAGCUUGAACAAAUUACAUGUACGCGCUUUGUAAAUGAGCACUAGCAGCUCACGUGGCAGCAGCGUGGGCAGGCCGCGAACCAUGAAGGAGCAGGAACCACAGAUCACCAAAAUAACAUGGUUGUGUGUGGCUCAUCAGAUGGAAGGUGUCUCGCCUUGAACUGAAGCAAGUUUCCUAUGUUGCACAUAACUUUACAAUGCAUAUUCAUAAUAAAGAAAAAUAUUCCCUUCUACCUGUGUCUGAAUUUGAUUUCUUUAAACCAAUGUUUGCACUUUUUGAACUGGAAUGGCCCCUUCCUUAGCCACAUCCAGUAGUGAAAAUAAGUGCUACAUUAAAGUCUUGUCAUAACUGGGGUUUCGUGGCAUUUUCUACCAAGAUGCUCUUUUAAAGCAAGACACAAACGUUGCAUAUUCUCUACAAAUGGAGAAUGUUUGCGUUGGUUCAAACAGAUUUAAUUCAAGGAUAUUUUUAUUGUCAUAUCACCUUGCUUGUUUGUGGUAUGAGAUUUGGUCUCGGGUCCCAGAUUAAGAAAUUUACAUCAAAAAAUAAUGUACCUGUGAUAUUUGAAUAAAAUAAAGUGACUUUUUAAAGA
Molecule: long non-coding RNA, 726 nt
Organism: Poeciliopsis prolifica (blackstripe livebearer)
Lineage: Eukaryota; Metazoa; Chordata; Actinopteri; Cyprinodontiformes; Poeciliidae
Exons: 3
Source: RefSeq, a predicted model, not a curated record